CUGUCCGAGUACAAAUUUCCUCCAAGUCUGACCCAACUGAGCCUAUCAAAUACUGAGUUAAUGGAGGAUCCUAUGCCGACACUAGAAAAGCUUCCACACCUUGAGGUGCUGAAACUAAAGCAGAACUCGUACUUAGAAAGAAAGCUGGCUUGUGUUGGCUGUAGCAGUUUUUCGCAGCUCAAGAUUUUGCACCUAAAAUCAAUGCUAUGGCUGGAGGAGUGGACGAUGGGGGCAGGAGCAAUGCCAAAACUUGAAAGCUUAAUUUUGAACCCUUGUGCGUACUUGAGAAAGCUUCCUGAGGAGCUUUGGUGCAUAAAGAGCUUAUGCAAAUUGGAGUUACAUUGGCCUCAGCCAGAGUUGAGACAAAGGCUACGAGCUUUUGAGGAUAUGGAGUGGCGGUAUGACAUCCAGUUAUAUCCAUCUGGAAUAUAACGGAUUGAAAGGGUUGAGAGUUUUACUUGAUAAUUACUGAUCUGGUAUGACUUUGUUUCACCUACUCAAUAGGUUUUAUAAAUGUGCUAUAUGUAGUAAAACCUUCAAGGGUUCAAAUUUUAAUUUAUUAUUCUGUGUCCUUUGACUUGUGUAGGAAAAGUCAAAGGGGGAAGAAUCAUAUAUAUCUGCAAUCUGGCUUUCAAUUUCAACUGUAAUUUCAGCAUUGAUCCGUUCAAUUCUCUUUAUUUGAGCUCCCCUUUGGGGACAUUAUUUUGUGGCGGAUUUGCCGCCAGAGAUGCCAUGGUUAGUCUAUUGUCUAUAAACUUGAAUAAGGUAAGUUUUUUCUGUUCAUGAAUGUAUUAAGAACUGCUGUGUGAUCCGAAUUCUACAAAAAAGACAUCUAGUCGAAGUUUCAUUAGUGUUGUUCAUGAAUGUAUGGUUUUGGCUGUCUUUGGACCGUGUGGAAAAAGACAUCGAGUCAAAUUUUCAUCAAUUGACUGAGGAAAUUGCAACAAUUUAAUGAUGCCUUAGUGAACUCAUACCUUAUAUGAAUUUUAAUUGUAUGGCAAUAGGAUAUGUAUGAAUUAAAAUUUGUAAAUUAGUAGUGUUACUUGUAAUCCCUCACCAGCAAGAAUAUAACUUGUAAGGUAAAGUUCAGAUCAGCAUUCAUUGGCUUAACUGCAGACCAGAAAUGCUUGAUCUUGAACCGUUUGAUCGGUCCAAGAAAAUAAACAUCACUUAAGUUACAUCAAUAAUUGGUGUAAUGUAGAUAAGUUUCAAUAUUGCUCAAAAUAUAUUGCUCUAAGGAAAAAUCGACAAUGACUAGAAAUGAACAUAACUUUAAUUGAUAUUAAUAUAUUUACCAUUAAACAGUUGUGUAAGUAUUAAGACAUCCAAAAUUGCAAAUAUGCAUGUUAAAAAACAAAUCCACGAACCAAAACUACCCAAAAUAGUGUCUUUGAGCUCCAAAGUAACACCCAUGUAUAGCCAGCAUUUUAUUUCAGCCCAUGUGAUGCAAGCUAUAAUUCAUUUGAAUUAUUUAUUAGAAAAGAGAAAAUAAGAUAGUUUUACGGAUAUUUCAAGUUUCAUGUUUCACCGGCACAAUUUAUGCCAAGUCCAUAAUGGAACAAAUAAUGUGUAACCUUAUGACCCACCCAAUAACAGAAUCAGAUGUAGUAUGCACAAAUUGCACAAUCAGAAAAGCAUCCUACAGAUCCAGCGAUUUAAUCUUUUAACCUUAUGACCCAACCAAUCUCGAUCUGUAACCUUUGCUUUCUGAUGUUUAACACAUUAUCUCAUCCUGGCAAAAAAUCUGAAAUGUUUUACGAGAGAAUUAAUCUUGAUAAAGGGCUUUUGGCGGUAAAAAAUAUUGCUUUAAUUAUAAAAAAAUUGAUUCAACCAAGUUGACCUAAAGGUUAUAUAAAUCUUGAUUUAGACGAUAUCAAACAACAUGUUAAGGGUAAAAUAGAAAAUAUAUUAUUUUAAUCUCACUAGUUCUUGAAGGACAUAUAUCAUCUACGUGAGCUCAGUUCAAAACAUUCAUGGUCAAAGCUCAGUAAAGUCAAGGACAAGCAUUAGAGAUACUAUCUAUCAUAGGUGAUAUUUCUUGUCGCAUUUUUUGUAAGGCUAGUAUGAUUAAGCAUUUAAAAGCUCAAUUUAUUGUCAUGAUCAUGGAACUUAAGUUUGUUUAGUUUUCAUAUUGAAAAGUUUCUAUUCUUGAAUAAAAUGAAGAUUAAAGUGUUUUUAUCAAAAUGAUUGCCUUCAAGUAUAUGGACUAAUUUUUGGAGAAUUUGAAUGAUUAAACACUCAAAACCACUCUUUUUUUCUUAUGAACUCAAUACAACUCCUCAAUUACAACUCUUUUAAAACUAAGAAGCUUUACUACUUCUUGUUGCUUAAACCAACUAAGAGAGGAGGUAUUUAUGCUUGUUACAACUUAAUCAUAACCAUAUAUUAACCAAACUACUGCACAAACCAAACCUAACAACCCUACUCAACCAUACAAAUUCUACUUACCACAUUACACUAUAAAUCUUAACUACCUAAAGAAGCUUCCAUGGACUAGAUCAUUUGGGCUUCAAUGUUGUAUGGAUCAAGUUUAUGAGCUAACACUAAUUUGGAAAGUUUUUGAAAGUUUUUGAAAAGUUUUUAACUAUUACCGGAUAACUCAAACUUUAGUUACUUGCCUAAUUUUUGUAUGCCAUUUUUUCCGCACUUCCUCAUUACAUUUAAAUAUGAGUAAUGAUACAGCCACAAACUCUUGUACAAAUUUAUUUUGUACAAACUGAUGUGGCAUGAUAAGAUUGGUUGAAUUAAAUAUCACUUGGCCCGCAUGAUUUAUUUUUAUUAAUUUAUAUUUUCAUUCAACCAAUGAAUUAAUGCCACGUCAGUUUGUACAAAAUAAGUUUGUACAAGAGUUUGUGGCUGUAUCAUUACUCUUUAAAUAUAUCGUCAGAUUUAAAUAUAUCGUAAAACCUUCAAGGGGCCAUACAAAUGCCAACUAAGUGUGAUGAUACGUGCAAAUUAUGCAUGCAUGCAAUAUGUUCGUGGGUAGCCAACAGCGGCGUUGAUGAUGAAGCAGAUAUAGUCAUAUUUGUUGAGAUGGUCAAGACGGUAGACUUAGUUAGACGAAUAGGCUGCUUAACUUAAGCAUAAGUGGUAGCAUGGUUACAUGUUUGUUUCCGAUUAUUUUGCCUUGUUGUUGCAGUUGUUUUGCUACAUUAUCUGUCACGUUUGUAAGGCUAUAAAUAGCCAAAAGCAUCUGGAUAAUGGGGAAGAGAUUUUCAGCGAAAGAACUCUUCCUUCCUUUCUUAACUUCUCCGACUUCUACUUCUUCUUAUCUAAAUUCAUUCAUAUCAUGUGAUUGCUUCAAUCUCAAAAUUAUGUCUCAACAUAGGCUCAACUUGAGUAGCAAAACAGAGUGGGAUAGCCACGUAUUACAGCAGACAAACAAAGAAAGAUCCCUCCCUCUGAAAUCUAUCUAAUAAGAACAGUGAAAGCAUAUUGUCUUUUAUGAUUCUUAUUUCCCUUUAUUUGUUGUGUAGGUUAAAUUACAGUGGGAAACGUCACAGGCCAAACGUUCAAUUUCAACUGUAAAAUCAGCUUUGAUCCAUUCAGUCUCCGUAUUCAGCUGUCUAUUCACAAAAUAAGUCCUCACGAGGCAAGGCAUUGUUUUUGCUUUGUAGAUUUCAAGGAUUUGCUAUAAGUGGCGCCUUUUUUGCAGUAAAUGUUUUCUAGAGACUUAAAUGGUUGUAUUCCUUAAUUUAAACUUAGGAUUUACAUUAUUAUUUUCUUAAAUCUUAGGAGUAUAGAUGCUCCUUUUCCUUCCAACAGUGAUAUAUUUAUAACUGAGACUACAAUAAAUAAAUUUAUUAUGGCGCAACCUAAAUUUCUGCUCUUACUAAUUAAUAAUUUUGGAGGAAAAUCUAUAUUGGUAUUGGAGAAAAUCUAUAUUGGUUUCUAUUCCAGACCAAUUGUACAAUUGGGAGCGGAAUAGAGUCUCAGUGCACGGAACAAAAACUCCGAACAGCUUUAUUUGCUUCUGAAACUCUAAUAUUGAACCAAAAUCAGUUCUAAAAUCCGACAAGAAUUCUCAAAUGAAAGCUAAACCUUACUUCGGUACAAAUUGCAGAAAAUUUUGUGCAAUGAACGAAAUACAAGUGGAAACAUAGAAAAAAAAAAUGCAUGCAAAAGAGAGACGAAUCACCAGCCAGCAAGUCAAGGUCAGAGAUAGGCGAGUGCACUCAGUGAGUUGAGGACUUUAAACGGAAAAGGUCGAAAGAAGUUCUUUUAUUUUAUUUUAUUUUCAAUAUUUCCAAAACUACCUCAACUCUAUUAAUAAGAGGGGGGUUAAAAUCCUAACACAAACUUUUAAGCUGCUAGCUGAUUAAAACUUGACGAGUUGUGUAAUCGCAAGUAGAAUUUGUCUGAGGGUGAGUGAAAACAAUUACAUCGCACUCAAGCCAGUAGGAGUUUGGGAUAUUUAUAAAAAAUGGGUGCAUUUGAACUCAAUUGCAAAUGAGUUUGGGAUAUUUAUAAAUAAUUUGGAUUCUAAAUGAUGUGGCAGUCAUUUAAAACGGGAUUAACCCUUCAACAAAUUAAUCAAAAAAUUAUUAUAUAUAGUACAACGGGAAAACCGUCCUCUAAGUACUUAUUAUUUUUUAAUCCUCUAGCUCUUUGAGACUUCUGCUGAAGUUUUGAACACAAUAAUCCGAAGGAAAAAAUUAUGGGCCACAUGGAAAUUUUGAUAGGAUUAUUACUGUGCCUAAGGAAGCAAGCAUAAGUAGUUAUUGUGAAAAUACACUGAAAAAUGGAACAAAUAAUCCAAUAAAUACAGUGACAGAACCGAAAGGCUUGUUACUCGGUGGUGGAUAAUAUAGCCAAGGAAUAAUUAUUUUCUCCUUCCAUUUCCAUGCAACUCUUUCACUUCUUACUUUGUAAAUAAGCUCAGAAAUGCAAACGAUCAUGGUGGCCAUAGACAUUAACAUGCUAAGUAAUGCGUACUGGAUUUUAUGGGCCGAUGAAAGUUGGUCGAAAAUAGCCGACGGAACCUCUAGCAUGAAAUUGACAAUGACAAAGGUUUGCUCUGGCGUAAGCUGUAUUACAAAUUUAUCAUCUAGUUAUACAAGGAACUAGGAUAUACGAAAAUUUUUCAAUCCGAAAUUAAAAUUAGCGAUUGUAGUCCGGGAUGAGUUUAUAACACUGUAAAUGGACCUUUACAUUAUUACUGCAAAAUAUUAAAAAAAUAAUUUAUAACUAUAAACUCCUCCUAAAUAUUAAUCUUGGAAUUUAAUUCCGGACCUAAAACUGAUUUCUGAGAUGUAUAUUGAAGAUAUGUAGAUUUAUGGGAUAAUAACACAGAUCCUUAUCUUUCUUCAUCAUUACAAAAAAUACAAACAUUUUGUUUUUAAUUUUCCGGAAAUGGGUUCCUGACAAAUGGUAAUGAUUAAAUAGUUUUGGUGUUAAGCUAAAUACUGUCGGUGAAAAUCUAAUACUAAAAGAUUAAUUUUUUUCAUUUUAAAAAAUCAAGGCUUAAUAAUUAAUUACUUAAUACAAAUGGCAAUAAUGAGCUUAUUAGUUGAAAUAUUAAACUCUCCUUUUGUAAUUUUUUUUUUUAAAAAAAAACUGUUUUUGUGUAUCUACUAUUUUACCCAAGAUGUGCUGUAAAAUCUCACAAUUGGUCCAAUAAAACUUUCUAUUUAUAAAAUAGUACGAGAAAAAAGAAAGUUGAAACUAAGAAUAUUUGUUUUUAAAGGGCAUAAGAGUUUUGAUAGAUUUUGAAACAUGUGGAGGCAAACCAUUAAUAUAUUUUUGGAAAGGUUAAAUUCUUUACCUUUCGAGUUGGGUGAUCUCUCUUGAGAUCCACCUUCGGAUCUUCAAUAUCGCCAAUAUCAUUUUCUAUUUCUGCUUCGAUUCCUAUAAAUUUGGAGUUCUCAUCAGUUGCUUCAGGUACGAACGGAGGAAGAUCAACAUGAGAAUGAGGGUCAUCGUCCUCAGUUGUUCUACUACUCUGGAAUACAAAUGCAGGCCAACUAUUAUUCCAGUAUUUGAUUUUUAAUUGAUGUAACAGUUUAUUUGUAAUCGGCACACCGAGAUACCUGGCCGUACUCAUAAAUUAAAAGGGACGAUGAUUGACUGACCUCUGGACUCAAGUCAUCUUUUAUAUGUGGUUCCGUGGGAUUGAGAUCUACAGCAUCGUCCUCUUCCGCAUUUAUGCUCAGGUAAAUAGAAGAGGGUGAUGACCCAACAUCAGAAUGGGUGCUAUCACUCUCAUUUGUCCUUGAGCCACUACCCUGAAAUUCAUCAUUAAAAAACUAAUGCAGUUAACCUAGAGAUGGCACUCUCACACAGAUUCCGCCAAUAAAUCAAUGUGCAAUUAAUGCAUGUGUACAUAUAUAUAUAGUAGAGAAGAAAAUUCCACAUAUACAGUAUGUACGGAAAAAGAAUAAAUUGAAACUCGAUUGCCAGGAUGGGGAAUGCCUUCUUGAGUUUGGUCUUGUAUUGCCAUACAAUAAUGUUAGAUUUACAGAGUUGUGACACAAAUUAAAUUUGGAUCCUAACUAAUGCUAUUUAUGUGUCAUUUACUAUUCUUUGAGACCUAAUCUGAUAAUUAAUUGUUGAGUUUCAUCAUUUCUCUAUUCUCAUCUAUGCUCAACGCAAAUAAAAAAUACGAACAAAUAGAGAAAAAUGAUAUGCUCACCCCACUGCUAAACGCCCUUACCUUGAACCCCACUCAAGCAAAAAUAGUUUUCAAAAAAGAAAAUUUGAUAUACAAUUCCAAAAAAAAAAAAAAAAAAGCUUGAGUGGGUUUGGGGUUUAUUGAUUGGGGAGAGUCGUACGGUUAUGAUAAAUAGAAACCUCGAUCACUUGGGAUCGGGAUCGCUUGUUGAGUUUAGUCUUCUUAAGAAGCUCGUCAUGUCGUUUCUUCAUUUCAGCAACAGCAGCUCUCAUUUUCCUUUGACCUCCUCUGGUAGCACUCUUGAUAUCGACCCUGAAGUCUUUCAAAAACUUACCAUUUUUUAAUGCAGUAAGAAAUUAAUCUUUUUUCCCUCUCUUAUAUAUACUACGUCGCAUGCCCACUGUUUCCUCUGUUUAAUUAAUUUGUCAGUGCAUUCAAUUGCUGGGAAUCAAGGCUGCAGUGUUUUACAACAACAUUUAAUUAGAAUGAAAUUGAAGAGAAGGGAGGGUUUGAAAAUAACCCUUGACAAAACGGAUAAUGAUCAGGCCAACGAUGGUUUCUAGGUAAAAGGUCUUGGUAUGCAUGUCUUUACUUGGAGAAUUAAUAUUGGUAUGAUACUAUGAUCACAGAUGAGAGAAUGUUUGUCCGUGCAACUUUAUCGUGGCAUAUAUCACAUAUACGAUAUUAUUAUAAAUUCCCCUACCUAGGAUUCGUCAGUUAAUUUUAUUUUAAGUUGACACAUUAAUGCGUACGCACACGCAAGGGGUUAGGUUAUGCUCAAACACGGGACUUUCGCUCGAAUACCACACUAAUUAAUGAAGUCAUUUAACCUAAGCUAAUUAUGUAAGAAUAUAGCUCAUGUUUUACAAAAUGGAAAAAGUCGCCCGCACCCCCAUUUUUUUUUUUAAAUAAAUGGUCACACCCAUGAGUUUUAUAAAUGGUCAUACAAAUCCGAAAUAAAAAUUUAAUAAUAAUUAUAAAUAUAAAAUUUAAUAAUAAUUAUAAAUACCAUAGAUAUUAAGAUAAAAUAAUUAAUAAAAAUAAAAUAUAUUAAAUAUAAUUAAUUAAAUGACAUAUAUAUGAUAUGAAAAUUAUUUUUAAUAUUAAUCUAAUAUAGACAUAAUAAAAAAUUUAUUAAAAAAAUAUAUAAUACAGAUUUUGUAAGUUAUGUUGAAUAUUAAAUGCAAUUAUUUGAAUAUUAUAAACUUUUGCAUGAACAUGUUUUACUAAUAUUAAAACAUAUCUGUCAUAUCAAUAAUAUUAAUACAAUUCUUUUAAUAUUCAAAAUGAUUUAUAAAAUUUAUAUUAUUUUUUUAUAUUAGAUCAUUUUAAUAUAGAAUUUUUUAAGUCAUUUUUAUUGUAAUAGUUGAAGGGUAUAAUCAUAAAAUAGAGGUGUGUGUGAUCAUUUACGAAACCCUUAUGACUUUUCAUUAGGAAAAAGACACCUACACUCUCAAGCUUUGAGGAAAUGGUCACAAAGAUACUUUAGUUUUCAAAAAAGGACACCAAAACCCCUUUAGUAAUUAGAAAAUUGAUUUUAUAUUUUUUUAAUUAAUACAAAUUUCAUACAAAUAAUAUAAUCUAUCUAGUAGACUAAUAAUAUUAAAUUACUUUUUAACAUUUACAAUAAUAUUAAAAUUUUAAAUUAUUAUAUUUUCUUUAAUAAUAUAAAAUUAAAAAAUAUCUUAGGUUUUGAUUCAAGGUUUUUAAGUUUCUUAUUGUUCUUUUUUUCACUUUUUUUAUUAAUGAUGAUACUGAAUAGAUGGUUUGGGGCUUCCUGCUAUUGGAAGGCUAUAUAUAAAUCUAUCAUUUGGCAACGGAAAGAAGAAAUAUAAAAUCAAAUUUGCUAUAGAUGUUGAAUAUUAAAUGCAAUUAUUUGAAUAUUAUAAACUUUUAUUUUUUCUCUCCUAAUUAUUAAUAUGGUGGAGUUAGACAGUUGUCGGAGUUAGAACAUAUUUCCCUAGAUUAUUAGUGAAGAUAAAAAUUUAGGCUGUUAAGAAUAGGUCCCAACAGAUGGCUGAUUGUAAUAAAAAAUACCAAAUAAAAAAAAAUGCUCAAGAUGCAAUUAGUCAACAACAUAUGAGUCGUUGUGACAAAUGCCACAGUUUAAGCUUGCAUAUUAUACAAAUGUAUAUAAUAGUGUACAAACUGGUCUUAAAGCGUUGUUAAUUUCUUUGGAGUCAUCGACGGUCCGGCCGUUCACUAUAUAUGUUUUUUGUAUUAAAAAAAAAAUAAUGCAUGCGAGGAUUCGUACAAGUUUUUUAUAUCCAGAUAAAGAGUCCAACUAGAAAGAGACAAAUCCUAAUGAUAUGACCACUAACUGAGCUAUUUACUGCAUCUUGCUCUCUUUCUUUUGGAUGCUUCUUAAUUGUUGUUGUCUUCUUAAAGAACAAGAAUAAUAUAUAACUUAUUAAAUAGAGCUUAUAGAAGUAGAACUUAUACCAAUAGAGUUUUUGGACAAAAAGUCAUUGGGUGUUUGGUUGUCAAUUAAAAAAAUACUUUUGAACCAUUAAACAGUUUGGUUGUGUAAAAUUAAAAGUGCUUUUGUGUAAUUAAAUUACCAAAAAGGAUAUGUAUUUAUAAUUAUUUAACAUGUAACAAAAUGCAUCCAAGCUAUCAAUUAAUAAGAAAAAAUCAGUUCAAUCAUUUCUUUAAUUUUCAAAAUUAAAAAUUUCAUAAUUGAUAUAUUCUCCUAAACAAAUAAUACUAUUCAAAUUAAAAUGAUAAUUAAUAAUAUAAUUGAAAUGUUAAUGGAACAUGAGAAGUGUCGUAUUACCUGACAUCCUCAUCACCAAAAAACGUUGGCUAUGACUAUGAUUACUCUCUCAAGUGUUGGUUAUGUAUUAGAGAUUGCAAAAUUAAAGUGCUGGUUAUUUAAAAAAAAACAAAAAGAGAUAAAGUGAAGUGGCGGCUGCAAUAUGUUUAUAUGGCGGCAACAAUUUUCGUUGGGUAGGUUUUAUACAAAGGGUAUUAUGUAAUUAAUGAAAUAUGUCAAGGAUAUUUUUGAUAUUAUAUAUUUUUUGGAAAAGCUCUCUAACCUCUACUCCCAAAAGCUCAAAUUUUGGGCUUUUGCUAGUAGAGGUAAAUUAGCUUAUUUAAGAUUAAAAAACUCUACUAAAAAAAAAACCAAACACCAUAAAAAAAAUUUAAAAAGUGCUAUGCGAUUAAAUAAGCACUUAUGACUCUUAAAUAAGCCAUACCAAACAGGCGCUAAGAAUAGCAUUUUAAUGAAAAGCAAGCUGGAGUAGCUCUGUUGGCUCGAGCACGUGGCUGUUAACCGAAGGUUGAACACUCGUAUUUUAAUUUUUUUUUUAUAUCAAAUUCCUCUCCAAUAGAAAUUUCAUCCCACCAAAUAUAUAAAUGGGAAGGACUAUUCGGACGCAGAAAAUUUAUUCAGAUCACUCAUAUUUUAACUAAAUUUUAUUUUAUUCCUAUAAUACUAGUAAGUUAAUUUGUUAUUAAGGAAAAUAUAUUAUGAUUACUCUUGGCACCCAUUCCUCUUGCUCAUUCAUCAUCCAUCUUGCGCCAUAAAUUUGUUUUCUUCUUAAAUUUUAAUGAUUCUGUCUCACUUCCUCAUCUCAUCACCGGUAGUCUCUCUCCUCUUCUUUCUUCUUCUCAACUGACUUAGCAAUUGAAAUUGCAAAGUGCGAGUAUACAAGAGAAUAUAUCGGAGAGAUGAGUUGGCAUAGAAUUGUGGUUUAAUCAUUCUUAAUCUGACUUUCCUUUAUUUUAUUAUAUUCUUUUAUUUGUCAAAAUAUGAUUUUUGUUCUUCCAUUUUGGCUAGAUUGGUGAUGGCUGAGUCUAGAGAAAGACUAGUUAUAUAAAUGGAUUUCAACGAAUAAAAAAAGAAGAAAAAACUAAUAUUCUGUUUAAAAAUAAAUAAAAACAUGUAACGAUAACGAUUUAAGUUAGGAUUAUUUUUGGAAUUUCAAAGAGUUCUAAGCAAUACUUAAUUUGAGAACAUUGAGGCUAUUUCACCCCAGUAAAAUACUCCCAACACCUAUUUUUCUAUAAAGUUUAAUACUCUUAAAUAAAUUUACUUAUAAAUCCCUUAGUCUCUUCUUCAUAAUCUAGCUUAUAGUUUCCUCUCUUAAAUACAUAUAAAACUAUUUUUACCCUUGAUGGAAGACAACAUUGACAAAACAAAGCAUUGCCCGCUGGGAAUUACUAAAGAAGAUAUUGUAACAUUUCUUAUAAUAAAAAAAAAACUGAAAAAUAAAAUCUCAAUUAUUAUUGAACCAGCAACAACGUCAUUUUCAAGUUUCAUGAAUAUAAAAUCAUGAUCAAAGCACAAGUGGCAGUUUGAUUGCAGAGGGUAGUAUUAAAUUCAUAUUUGCACAAACUCCAAAAGUCUCUUUGCUUAAUCACAAAUCCAAAUUACGGAUCAUCCUCCAUUACAAUCUUUAUAAUGCUUAAAACUAUAUUAUUUCUAAAAGUACUAGUUUUGCAAGGAUCACUCAUAAAAUUUACAGAUCUGAAAUUAUUUCGGCAAAGUUAGAAUGUUCUUUGAUGUUCACUGAUAUUGAUGAAGAAAUAGAUAUAUUUUCGGAAUUAAGUUCGGUGCUUAAAACAAUUAUAAAUUAUAAAUUUUGUUGAUGGCUACCUGAGAAAUUGAGUUUAUUCAGUAUUUUAAUAGAUUCAAACAGUCUCAUUCUUUCAAAAAAAUUUAUAAAAUGUCAUAAAUAAUAGAGCAUUUAGAGCAUUUUUUAAAGUGAAAAUAAUCACACGUAAUACAAAUUUUGUAGUUGACAACAAUAUUCAUAAAUUUAAUCUAUUACGGCAUACAAUUGGACAAGCCAUUUAAUUGCUGAAGACCAUUUGUUGACUUCUCUCCAGACUAUUUUAAUAAAGCAAAUAGAAAUUUCAUCCCGCCAAAUACAAAUUUGUGCAGCAGACUGCCAUUUACCAUCUCAAGAUUUGUGCAGCAGACUGCUUUUAUAAUUGUAAAUUUGUAAUGUUACUUGUUGUCCCUCAACAGAAAGACUCUAAAUAAGUAAGGUAAAGUCCAUUGAACAUGCAGCUUUUCUGCAAAUCAGGUCUUUGCACAAAUUUAAUCCGGUUGUGGUCUGUAGACAGUUGAUUGUUAAUUUCCAUUUUUUCCAACAAGCCAACAGUACCCUAACAUAAUCAACCCAAGCGUUUAAAGAGGAUACAAAUUUGCAGAAGCCACCAGAGUUGCAUCAACUAUUGGCGUAAAUGCAGAUAAGACUACUGAUGCAUAAAAAUGGAAAUUAACAAUCAACUUGAGCAAAACCAUAAAAAUGCCAUAGUAGUUAAGGUUAGUUCCAACGCAAGACCCAACUCGAGUGGCAAAACAGAGGCGGUUAGCCACACAUUGUGGCAGAGAAACAGAGAAAUAUCAUUCUGUAUUCUAUUUAAUAACUGUAAAAGCGCAUUUUCAUUUCUGAUUCUUAUUUUACAUUGUAGGUAAAAUCAGAGGGGGAUACAUCAUAACUGCAGCCACGCUUCCUAAUUCAUCUGUAAUUCAGCAUUGAUCCUUUCAAUACAUUUCAUUUCAGCCGUCUUUUGGGGAAGUUGCUUUGAAUUCGAUUUGCGAAUUUUUGGAAAUGUCUGCAGAAAUCUUUGUACAGGAGUGCGGUUAUGACAUACAAUUAUAUUAUAAUGAAACUUUAGCUUUAAGAAAUUUAAGAUGUUCUAUUUUCAAAAGACAUCUAGGACUAACUUUUUUUUCAUUCCCAUGCUUUAUCUUAGUUAAUUUAUUUUUUUGCUCACUGGGCACUAUAAGGCAGAGUUUAUUUCUCUCUCUCUAUUUUUUUUUUUCCAAACUAAUGCUGUUAGUUUAAGAAUCUUCGUAUUACAAUCUGGUCAUCAUUAUUUUCAUUUUAUUUUGAGACAAAAUAAUUGUUUUUGAAUUCUCAUUAGCAAAUGUACAUUGCUUUCAUUUUUAGAUGGCAAAAACAGGGAAAAAAAAAAUAAUAAAACAAGAUUGCAGGACAUCAGCACCUUAUUCUUUUCUUGAACUAAGUCUUUGUUUUGUUUAGCUUUUGUUAAGAUGCUUUAUUAACCUUCCUCCUUUUUCCUAUUGCUAGUUUGGUAUCUCUUUCAUUUCUUGAACCAAGAUAUUUGCCUUUAAUUAGAAGUAAAGCUAAAAUGCUCCUUCGCCUUUCCUCCCUUUUCUCUUAACUUGUGAUUUCUUAUGCAAUCAUUUUCAAUCGUACCAACACCAUUCAUUUAUCAAUAUCCAGUUUGAAUAAAAUUCUACAAUUUGAUUUUUUUUGCUUCUUCCACAUAAUUGUUUGAUUGUGGUGCUUUCAGUCAGAAUUAGAUAUCAUCGGGACAUUAAAUCUUUGAUUACUCAAACAAUCAAUAACAGGUAUUUUAUUAUCUGAAUUAUUCAUUUAAUAACUUCAUUUUAUUUAUUUUUAUCUCAUGAAUGUUAGAUCCACUUUAGGUUUGUGAUUAAUUAUUUUUCACAAGUUAUAUUUUUUAUUUUCAUUUUCAUAAGUAUCAAAGUCAUCACUAUCAUGCACACGUUGCUUGUACUUUUAUUGUGUAAAAAUCAUCACCCACAAAUAAUAUUAAAUGAAAUUCACUUGCCCAUUGAAAAAUAUGUGUAUAUACUAUUUUUUAAAAACCAUUAUUCUCCCUUGGAGCUUACUAUUAUUUAGUACACGAAGUAAAUAAAUAAAUAGAUAUAUAACUUGAUGGAGUUAUUUGCGAAUAGGAAUUACUAUUUAUUUAGUUUUGUGUUUCUGCAUCAGUAUUAUCUUCUCUGUUAUAUUUGCUUUUAGCAACUCAAAGUGCGGAUUGAGCUACGGUGCACCCUUCUUUUUGUAUUUUUUUGGCUGCACCCCAUAGUCUCUUCUAUAUUUACAGUUUAUUAAAGUAAUUUAUUUUUCCUCUUUCUUCAACCCCUCACUUCUACAUUCUUCUAGAUUUUUUCCAUUUUCAAUUAAACCUGUAAUCAACCAAUUGCAAUCAAUAAGAGAAACUUGACUUUCUCAUUGAAGCUACUUCCUUGUUGCCUUAAGAUUCAUUUGCUCCACAUCGCAUAAGCAAUAAUGAAUUAAACUUUUUAUAUAAAAGAAAAUCACAUAGAUACAUUUUUGUAUCCACAAUAUAUUCAUCAUACAGUGAAAUUUAGGUGUAAGAAAAUUGAAAUUUUUGAUGUUUUAUUACGCGUCUUCUUCCCCUCUUCUCUUCCAUGUGUCUCUCCAUUUGCUCCUUAAAUAAUCUAACUCUAGGGCUUUCUAAUAAUUGGAUAAUUAUUAUAAUAAUUAUUAUUAUUUUAUCAGUAAAGCUCCUCUUAUUAUGUUAAUGAGUUUGUUUUCUUAGGAAAAAAUAAUAUUUUAGCAAAUGAUCAAAAGUGAGAGCUUUAACAAAAAUUCAAAAUCUGUCUUAGUUUUCAUUGUCUUUGACGCAUCUGGCAUGUUUGAUUUCUUGAUUAUAACUUGCAAAAGUGGGUACUAUAACACAAUGACAAUGAUUAGUGAUUUGUGCUGAGAGAAUUUGGGAACAAAAGAUAUUUGUUCAUAAACAAACAACACAUCCCUGCCCUUGAAACUCCUUUUGUGUCAGAUCCAAUGGUGGCAGAACAAAGAGACACAAAGACGGGUACGGUGUAACCGUUCCACCAUAGCUAGAUCCCUCGAGUGCAUUGUUCUUCAUUCUAAUAUUUUUGCAACAUAGAAAAUAACUUACGAAAAACAAUACCAAACAGCUCCUUAGUUAGAGAUAGUUAUUUGACAACACAAGUACUCUGUUUUGCAUAUAUUUAUAUAUUUUUAAUAGCUCUGUUUGAAAAUUCCGGCUACACAGUAUAAGUGAGAGAAGGAGACAUACUGGACGUUUACCUCCGACUAUUUUGUGAGAGGUUGAAAAGGGUGUUAGCAGGUGAAGAAGGCACGUUACCGUUGCCUGAUUCAACAAAUUUAGCCCCGCUUUUUCAAAACCUUCUUAUGGAGUCCGAAAUUAUUGCUACUACUCUACUGGAAAACUAUGAAGCUGACAUGGCUCGGCUUUUGUUUCAACUCAUUAGAGAAGAAUUCGAUGAACCCAAAAUAUCUUUGCCUUUUUUGCAACUGUUGGACUUAGAAGAAAGUGAUGAAGACGUUAAAAGACAAGAUAUUUUGGAAAUUCUGGAAGACAUCAAUGACUUUGUCCAUGAAUCUGAGGAAGCCAUUGACACAUUCUUCAUCAACAUCAUGCAGCAGCAAAACAGUGAAAGUGAAAGUGAAAGCAGUACUAGUAUGGCUCUUCUUGUUGGACUACACGGUAAAAUCAUUGAUAUUAGAAAUCAGAUGCAACAGCUUCCACCUAGCGACAAUGGUUUUGAUAUCAAUGAACAAAGGGACAAACUCAUUCACUUAUUGAUUGAGGGACAAUCUCAACUUGAUAUCAAUGAAUUUGAAAGGGGCAGAGAGGAGUUGUUUGAUUUGUUGAUUGAGGGACCAUCUGGGCUUUCAGUGGUUGCAAUUCUCGACAGCAGUGGCUUCGAUAAGACUGCUUUUGCUGCAGAUACUUACAAUAAUAAUCACGUCAAGUUCUAUUUUGACUGUCUUGCUUGGGUCAGGGUUUCCAUAGUCUACGAUUUUGGCAAGAUAUUGGAUGACAUAAUCAAGUCUGUGAUGCCUCCAUCUCGGGUUAGUGUAAUUAUCGGUGAAGAUUAUCAAUUGAAGAAAUCUGUUCUUCGAGAUUACGUAACCAACAAGAAGUACUUUAUUGUGCUUGAUGAUGUCUUCGAUGAUCGUGAGAUAUGGAGUGAUCUUGAAGAAGUUCUUCCUGAUAAUCAGAAUGGAAGCAGAGUAUUGAUAUUGGUCACUGAUCCAGACCUCCUUUCGUCGUUGGAAAUGGAAAACGGAGAGAAGAUUCGGCUUGAUUCAGUGCUCAUUGGAGGACCAUUGAUCAGAUUAAAGCAUGAGGCCUGGCAAUUUUUCAUCCUACACUAUGGAAGUAUGCCAUUAGGAAAUUAUCUUCAAGGCGAAGCGAUUCCGACAGUUUGGAGACAAAUUUAUUCUGUGAUGGAGUUACCUUUUCACUUGAAAGUCUGCUGCAUCUAUUUGUGUGUCUUCCGUCCAAGUAUUGAGAUAUCUACGAGGCAAUUAUAUCAGUUGUGGGUAGCUGAAGGUUUCAUAUCAUCCAACGGUGAAGAAACUGCCGAACAUUACUUGAAAGAACUAAUCCAACGCGGCUUCAUUCAAGUGAGUAAGAGAAGAGCCGGCGGCACAAUUAAAGCGUGUUAUGUUCCAAGUCUUGAAUUUACUUCAUUGGCUUUGAUGGCUGAAAAGACGAUAUUUGUCUGGAAUCCUGGCAUGGAAGAGGAAUCACUAUCAAAUGUUAAACGGUGCUUCAUUUGGGAACAUCUGAUUGAGUUUUUAUCUUUAGAACAUCCUGACAUCUAUCUCCAAUCUUUUCUGAAUCACAGUUCAAAAACCGAUCAUCUGGCUCUGAUACAGUGCGAGAAUUUUUGUAAAAAGUUCAAACACCUUCGGGUAUUGAACUUGGGUUCUGCAGUUCUCGACCAAUAUCCACCCGGAUUAGAAAAUUUAUUCUAUUUGAAGUAUUUGAAAUUGAAUAUUCCUUCGCUCAAAUGUCUUCCUUCACUGCUAUGCACCCUUAUAAACCUUCAAACACUAGAAAUGCCAUCUAGCUACAUAGAUCGGUCACCAGAGGAUAUUUGGAUGAUGCAAAAACUCAUGCAUCUAAACUUUGGUUCCAUCACUCUGCCUGCACCUCCAAAAAAUAAUUCCAGCACUCUGAAAAAUCUCAUUUUCAUAUCAACCUUACACCCUAGUAGUUGUACUCCAGAUAUAUUGGGUAGACUCCCUAAUGUUCAAACUCUUAGAAUAUCUGGAGAUUUGAGUUGCUAUCAUUCUGGGGUUUCCAAAAGCCUAUGCCAACUACACAAACUUGAAUGCUUGAAGCUGGUGAAUGAAGGCAAGAUGCGGCAACUCUCACGGAUGAUCCUGUCUGAAUACAAAUUUCCUCCAAGUCUGACCCAACUGAGCCUAUCAAAUACUGAGCUAAUGGAGGAUCCGAUGCCGACGCUAGAAGAGCUUCCACACCUUGAGGUGCUGAAACUGAAGCAGAACUCGUACUUAGAAAGAAAGCUGGUUUGUGUUGGCUGUAGCAGUUUUCCGCAGCUCAAGAUUUUGCACCUAAAAU
RNAcentral lists this long non-coding RNA (16735 nucleotides) under Citrus x clementina. RNAcentral's name for it is "Citrus clementina (C. clementina) long non-coding RNA (CCLE_LNC002379)". Lineage: Eukaryota; Viridiplantae; Streptophyta; Magnoliopsida; Sapindales; Rutaceae. The record is from RNAcentral.